RNAcentral lists this long non-coding RNA (1258 nucleotides) under Anas platyrhynchos (mallard). RNAcentral's name for it is "lncRNA (ENSAPLG00020006764.1)". Lineage: Eukaryota; Metazoa; Chordata; Aves; Anseriformes; Anatidae. The record is from RNAcentral.
CUGUUAAUUGCUUUUUAGCCUCAUCUUUUUCACUCAAGUACUCAAAUGUAGCUAAGUCUUUUGAUGAGGUGGAUGGCAUGCCAAUUGUAACUGUUUUCCUGAAGGUCAGUUAAUAACAUACUGAAAACAUAUGGGUCUCUCUUUCCUUAUCAAAACUGUACUCAGUGAUGAGGACUGAAAAAAAAAAAAAAAAAAAAAAACAUGCAGUGGAGGUGACUGCCUCUUACCCUGACUCAGCCCACAUUGCCAUCUUUGCCCAUGAUACUACACUUUCUGCCCCAAUCCCCAUUUCAUUCACGGAGUCUUCGAGAAGAGCUGUGGUUUGUAGCUUAGUUCUUGCAAUGAAAACCUGAAGGGUAUCUUGAAGGUCUUGGAUUCAGCAAAGACUAAGGUUCAGCAUGGGCAUGAGACCUGUGGUUUCGAUCAGUUGGAGACAUUUGCACAUGUGAAGAAGGGUGACAGAAGGUGGGCAGCUGGAUCUACUGGUUCAUCUCAAGCUCAUCUCCAACAUAAAUGACUACACCCUAUUUCUUUUUGUGCAACUCCUCUGGAAAAUUACUUUAAUAAAAUACAUGUGAAAAUAUUAAGUAGGAACAACUGUGAAAAUCAAAUGGAUCUACUUACGACAACCAAGAAAAUGAAUAAGCAAUUCAUAGUCUAUGAAACUGUAAGGCAACGGAAAUGUCCUUGAUUUGAUCAAGGAAAGGCAAACUCAUUUCAUAGUAUCUCUAGACUUUGACUACCAGUGAAGCAGAGCUGUCUUAUCUUUAGAACAAAGAAAGAGAACAAAAUUCAAACAGGAUUAUAUUUUAAGACAUAAAACUAUCACUCUGUUGACAACUACUGAUACCUGCUGUCAAUAUAAAAGAGGGAAAGGAAAAUUACUUAGUGCAGUAGUUUGAAUGGAUGAUUUCUCAGUGUCAAAGAUUUAAUAAAACUAACAUUUUCUCUCUCUCUCUCUCUCUUUUUUUUUCUUUUUUUUUUUUUUUUUUUUUUUACCAGAAUUAAUCAUUUUCUCAUUUGUUGUUCAAUAUUUUAUCCAUACAUAAAAAUAUUAAUAUCUGUGCAGUGCAUCAUAGCCAAACUCUACAGUAAAUCACUCACAUUCCGAAAUAAAAGUAAAUGGCAAGCUACCACUUAAACAACUCUUCUGGAGAACUUCUGCUAAGCAUCUCCUCUGCUAAAAUAAAGUUCCCUCAUAGCUCUACAGCUGUGAAACAGUAGUUCCAUUUAGCAUUUCACAUCUGAUCAGCAGAAC